GAUGAACGCUGGCGGCGUGCCUAAUACAUGCAAGUCGAGCGAACGGACGAGAAGCUUGCUUCUCUGACGUUAGCGGCGGACGGGUGAGUAACACGUGGAUAACCUACCUAUAAGACUGGGAUAACUUCGGGAAACCGGAGCUAAUACCGGAUAAUAUUUUGAACCGCAUGGUUCAAAAGUGAAAGACGGUUUUGCUGUCACUUAUAGAUGGAUCCGCGCUGCAUUAGCUAGUUGGUAAGGUAACGGCUUACCAAGGCAACGAUGCAUAGCCGACCUGAGAGGGUGAUCGGCCACACUGGAACUGAGACACGGUCCAGACUCCUACGGGAGGCAGCAGUAGGGAAUCUUCCGCAAUGGGCGAAAGCCUGACGGAGCAACGCCGCGUGAGUGAUGAAGGUCUUCGGAUCGUAAAACUCUGUUAUUAGGGAAGAACAAAUGUGUAAGUAACUGUGCACAUCUUGACGGUACCUAAUCAGAAAGCCACGGCUAACUACGUG
Molecule: ribosomal RNA, 497 nt
Filed under: uncultured bacterium
Lineage: Bacteria
Description: partial 16S ribosomal RNA
Rfam family: Bacterial small subunit ribosomal RNA
Source: RNAcentral